AUGCCUUCUUCCCCGUUUCCUCUUUCGUCUUCCCUUUCAUCUUCAGAUUUCUAAUCUUUCAUGUCUUCUUCCUUUCAACAGAUUUCUAAUCUCUCAUUCCUUAUUCCUUUUUCCUCUUCGUUUCCAAAUCGCUGUCAUCUCCUCUUUCUUUCCUUCUCAAGAGCCAAGGGGUGGUUUUGGUCUGAGGCUCUUGUUUUCGUCGGCCCUCGUCAACGCCACAAGCAAAUUGAAUUAAAAGAAGAAGAUGAAGAUUCGAGAAGCUGGUGUUGAAAUCCUCCAGAACGUGUGGUCGGCAUCAUUUACAACUCAGUUUUUUUCCCAGAAAAAUCCUUCUUGUCUGCCGCUGCAAUAUUGCUCUGCCGCUUGGGCAGAGGUUCUGAACCCUGGUAUAGAAUACUGUUGGAGUAUCCGAUUCAAGCAUAUAUGGCCAAAGAAAGGAAAGCUGGAGAAGUUGUCGCUCUAAAGAACAUACGCAUGGACAAUAAAAAAGAAUGGUUCCAUAUGACUGCCAUGCGUGAAAUAAAAAUUCCAAGGAAGCAGCAUUUUUAUCCCAAGUUGCUGACACCUUUCUGAAAUGCAGGAUGGAGAGGCAUAUACUUACCUACUUAAUGUACUUGCACCUGAGCACUGUAGUCCAGCCACAUUAGAUGCAAAGGAUCCUGUCCAAAGAGCAAAUUUGGUUCUUGACCUUGCAGAGCUUAUGGACUGCAAAAGAUACUUAGCCCCAAAGGAUAUUGUCGAAGGCUCGACCAACUUGAAUCUCGCAUUUGUUGCACAGAUUUUCCAUCAGAGGUGGGAUUUUUGUGUCUUCUUCCUCUACUGAAAUCCUUGAGAUAACCAGCUAUAUGGUUAUGAUAUAGAUACUGAGUCAGACUUGGAAACUGGGGGUUAACCUCGGGAUGAAAAGUUUGUGUAUUGUAGCUUUCUGUUUGUACAUCACAAUCGCAGCUUUUCGAAAACACAUGCUCGGCUCUGCAUUUGGAUUUCUUAUUUUUUUUCAUUAUGAUUGCAAGUUGUAUGAAAGAUAUUUGCAUUCAAGGAGUGACCUUUAUAAUGUCUUGUGCAUCUGCAGCAUAUACUGGAAAGACUGAUAGGGAAAAUCUCUGCUGCAGUUGAUUCUUAGAAGAAUUUUUGUUCUCAAAAUAUUAUACCAAACAUAUUCUUUAAAAAUUUCAACUGUUUUCUGGAAGUACCCUUGAAAGAAAAUUUGAAAAAACUGAAGCAAAUGAUAAUAGGACAUUCUAAGAGUGCAUUUGUUGUUAAUGGGUUUCAUUUUUUGCUUUUACCAAAAUGCAUUAAGCAAAGGGGCUGUUAUUCUAUGGCAAAAAAAUAUUGUUAUCUUGUUCAUACUGUUUGUUUAUUUGUUGUCUACUUGCUGUAUUUAUGUUGAUGCUUUUAUUCGUAUACAGGAAUGGCUUGUCCACAGACAAUAAGAAGAUCUCAUUCACAGAGAUGAUGACUGAUGAUGAACAAAUGUUUAGAGAAGAGAGAUGCUUCCGACUGUGGAUCAACAGUUCGGGAAUCACAUCUUAUGUCAAUAGCCUCUUUGAGGAUGUUAGAAAUGGUUGGGUAUUGUUGGAGGUGCUGGACAAUAUUUUUCUGGGAUCAGUUAAUUGGAAACAGGCAACAUAACCUCCUAUAAAAAUGCCGUUCAGAAAUGUGGAGAAUUGCAACCAAGUCAUCAAAAUUGGGAAGCAAUUGAAACUUUCUUUGGUAAAUGUAGCUAGGAAUGAUUUUGUGCAGGGAAAUAAGAAGCUUAUACUUGGUAAUAUGUUUAACAUGCCAUGCUACAUCCAGUUCUGCAAGUAUUAUCUUAUAUAUCAGCUAUUUGAGUUUGAGAUACCUGUCUCAAUAUAUUUCCUUCUCCCUCUAUUUAACUAUCCCUCAAUUUAUUUUUCUUUUUUGGUUUUUUCUCUCUCAUGAGCUGGCAGUAUUUUAUAAUGCCUGUGGGGCUUAAUAUUUUAGUUAAAAAGAUCCAGGUAAAUGGCUAAUUCUGCUAAUGAUGAUCUGAAUAGCUGGCUUUGGUAACUUCUGAAAAUCGUAGCUGUACUGUUCAACUGAAGUUGCCUGUUAAGCAUCGCAAUAGAUUGUGCAAAAUCAUGCACAAUGUGCUCUUCAUGUGGUCUGGAGCAUUUGACUUGAUAGUCAGAGAUUUUUUUUAGAAGAAAGAAGGGGGGUGGUUUAAAAAGGUACUGACAAGUUUUUGAUAAAGAGUUCUCAAAGGGGAUAUCUUUAAGUAAACCUGAAAGUGUGUUUCUUUUACUAUCUGAUUGCUCUAGCUUUUAAGAACUCAGUGUUCUUCAUUUUUUGUUUUAUCACUCAGCUUUUCUGUGGCAAUUGAUGAGGUGUAAUAUUCUUCUACUCUAGGAGAAUUUGAGGUCACGCUUCCAAGGCAAGGAGAUAUCUGAUGCUGAUAUUCUAAAGUGGGUAAACAAAAAAGUGAAGAGUACAAGCAGAUCAUCUCAAAUGGAGAGUUUUAAGCCAAGCAUAUAUGGCCAAAGAAAGGAAAGCUGGAGAAGUUGUCGCUCUAAAGAACAUACGCAUGGACAAUGAAAAAGAAGGGUUCCCUAUAACUGCCAUGUGUGAAAUAAAAAUUCCAAGGAAGCUGAAUUUGUGCUGUUUUGGGACCCCACCCUUUGGUGUGUAGCUUGUGUUCUGAAAAAAACUAUGGUCUCUAAAUCUGGGAUGAACCGAACUUGAUUUAGUCGCACCUUACCUUUCAUUUAGCUGUCACAAGCAUAUAUCAACUCCCUACUCCUGAUCAUUUUUAGUCAACGAUAGAAAGUGUUUCUACCAGUUUUACACUCAAUCUAAAUACAGCUUGGUAAAUGGUUUUUUCUAUGGAAUAUAUUCUCAGCUUCAUUGUCCAGUAAGCCAGCUAAGAAUGCAUGCCUGUUGUCAAUAGGAACUUCCACAGUAUGCAGAUAUUCAACUUAAUGAGAGCAGAACAACAACAAUCAUUCUCACCAAUGGAUGCAAAAGUUAUGCCAUCGGCAUGAAGCAAAGAUCUUUCCACCAGAACUGGAACAACUUUGUCACUGACCAUGUUCUUCGGCCCGGAGGGUUAUUGCUCUUUAUUCCCCAAUCAUGCAACUCCUUUGCUGUUGUUGUAUUCAAUAAAAAUGUAUCCAUGGCAUAGGCCAUAAUUAAUCUGGCGCAUUUCAGUAAUGUAUCAGUAAUCUGCCAUUUUACUGUAUCAGUAAUCUUCCAUGUUUUAAUGAUUCUGUUGCAAUGCAAUGUAAGGUUAUUCCCCGUUCUCCA
This is an RNA transcript of Coffea eugenioides, 3261 nucleotides long. It is a transcript of the gene named fimbrin-3-like, with no coding region annotated. Lineage: Eukaryota; Viridiplantae; Streptophyta; Magnoliopsida; Gentianales; Rubiaceae. The record is from RefSeq and is a predicted model, not a curated record. The transcript has 8 exons.